RNAcentral lists this ribosomal RNA (243 nucleotides) under uncultured bacterium. RNAcentral's name for it is "partial 16S ribosomal RNA". It matches the Rfam family "Bacterial small subunit ribosomal RNA", at positions 534 to 776 of the family's 1533-position model. The record is from RNAcentral.
CCAAGCGUUGUUCGGAUUCACUGGGCGUAAAGGGUGCGUAGGUGGUGGGGUAAGUCGGAUGUGAAAGCUCGGAGCUCAACUCCGAAAUGGCAUUGGAAACUACCCUGCUAGAGGAUUGGAGGGGGGACUGGAAUACUUGGUGUAGCAGUGAAAUGCGUAGAUAUCAAGUGGAACACCAGUGGCGAAGGCGAGUCCCUGGACAAUACCUGAGACUGAGGCACGAAAGCUAGGGGAGCAAUCAGG